RNAcentral lists this small nucleolar RNA (153 nucleotides) under Nicotiana sylvestris (wood tobacco). RNAcentral's name for it is "small nucleolar RNA snoR134". It matches the Rfam family "small nucleolar RNA snoR134". Lineage: Eukaryota; Viridiplantae; Streptophyta; Magnoliopsida; Solanales; Solanaceae. The record is from Rfam by way of RNAcentral. RNAcentral also lists the same sequence under 1 other name.
UUGCACGUAGCCUCCCGGGCUCAUCUGAGUAUAAAAUAGUGAAGUUAGAAGCCCCAAAGCUCGUGCUAAACUUACCCGCCGCUAAGUGUUGCAGUUUAGCUCCUUUGUACCUUCUUAUUAUGGCUAAUCUGUGUCAAAUCAACGGCUACAUCC